Molecule: transfer RNA, 68 nt
Filed under: Loxodonta africana (African savanna elephant)
Lineage: Eukaryota; Metazoa; Chordata; Mammalia; Proboscidea; Elephantidae
Rfam family: tRNA
About the family: Transfer RNA (tRNA) molecules are approximately 80 nucleotides in length.
Source: Rfam by way of RNAcentral
GGUGGUGCAGUGGGUAAAGCACUUGACUGCUAAACAAGGGGUCGAUGGUUCGAACCCACCAGCCACUA